RNAcentral lists this microRNA precursor (70 nucleotides) under Magallana gigas (Pacific oyster). Its description in RNAcentral is "Crassostrea gigas (Pacific oyster) mir-137 microRNA precursor family". It matches the Rfam family "mir-137 microRNA precursor family". Lineage: Eukaryota; Metazoa; Mollusca; Bivalvia; Ostreida; Ostreidae. The record is from Rfam by way of RNAcentral.
GCUACUGGCGAGUAUUCUUGGGUAAAUAUCACUUUAAAGCUGUUAUUGCUUGAGAAUACACGUAAAUAUU